UCGGGAAUUACUGGGCGUAAAGACGCACUGCAGGCGGCCUCGUUAAGUCAGAUGUGAAAGCCCGGGGCGUUAAACCUCGGAAUUGUAUUUGAAACUGGCAGGCUAGAGUCUUGUAGAGGGGGGUAGGAAUUUCAGGUGUAGCGGUGAAAUGCGUAGAGAUCUCGAAGGAAUACCAGUGGCGAAGGCGGCCCCCUGGACAAAGACUGACGCUCAGAUGCGAAAGCGUGGGGAGCAAACAGGAUUAGAUACCCCUGGUAG
This 258-nucleotide ribosomal RNA is filed under the name uncultured bacterium. RNAcentral describes it as "partial 16S ribosomal RNA". It matches the Rfam family "Bacterial small subunit ribosomal RNA", at positions 547 to 793 of the family's 1533-position model. The record is from RNAcentral.